AUUUUUUUGAUAUUUUAUUUAAGAUAAGACCUGCCCAAUGACUUUUGUUAAAUGGCUGCAGUAUUUUAACUGUACGAAGGUAGCAUAAUCAUUUGUUUAGUAAUUUUAGACUUGAAUGAAAGGUUUGAUUAGAUUUAAUCUUUUUUUGUAUUAUUAAUAAGAAUUUAAUUUAUUAAUUAAAAAGUUAAUAUAUUUUUAUUGGACGAGAAGACCCUAUAGAACUUAAUAUUUAAUAAAAUAACUUAUUUUAUUAAAUAUUAUAUUGGGGGGAUAGAAAUUAAUAUAAACAAUUUUAUUUAUUUUUUCAUUGAUUUAUGAUUUUUUGAUCCAGUUGUUUUGAUUAUAAGAUGAAGUUACCUUAGGGAUAACAGCGUAAUUUGUUUGGAGAGUUCUUAUUGAAAAACCAAGUUUGCGA
This 415-nucleotide ribosomal RNA is filed under the name Hoplonannus paenebrunneus. RNAcentral describes it as "partial large subunit ribosomal RNA". The record is from RNAcentral. Lineage: Eukaryota; Metazoa; Arthropoda; Insecta; Hemiptera; Schizopteridae.